RNAcentral lists this ribosomal RNA (219 nucleotides) under Pseudomonadota bacterium. Its description in RNAcentral is "Proteobacteria bacterium partial 16S ribosomal RNA". It matches the Rfam family "Bacterial small subunit ribosomal RNA", at positions 1 to 210 of the family's 1533-position model. The record is from RNAcentral. Lineage: Bacteria; Pseudomonadati; Pseudomonadota.
GAACUGAAGAGUUUGAUCCUGGCUCAGAUUGAACGCUGGCGGUAUGCUUAACACAUGCAAGUCGAACGGUAACAGGCCGCUGUGAUCCCUUCGGGGUGAACUUGGCGCUGACGAGUGGCGGACGGGUGAGUAAUACUUAGGAAUCUGCCCAGUAGCGGGGGACAACUCGAGGAAACUCGAGCUAAUACCGCAUACGCCCUACGGGGGAAAGCGGGGGAU